Long non-coding RNA from Hemibagrus wyckioides, 914 nucleotides. RefSeq lists it as uncharacterized. NCBI's taxonomy places the organism in Eukaryota, Metazoa, Chordata, Actinopteri, Siluriformes, Bagridae. The transcript has 3 exons. The record is from RefSeq and is a predicted model, not a curated record.
CACACACACACUAUCUAUUUUACUGUCUUUCUUUCACACUCUCUUUUUGACUCUCUUUUUUUCUGUCCCUCUCUUCCACACUCUCAUCUCCCCCAACUAUCUCUCUCUCUCUCUCACACACACACACACACACACUAUCUCUUUUACUGUCUUUCUUUCACACUCUCUUUUUGACUCUCUUUUUUUCUGUCCCUCUCUUCCACACUCUCAUCUCCCCCAACUAUCUCUCUCUCUCUCUCUCUCUCUCUCUCUCUCUCUCUUUCACUGUCUUUUUUCACACUCUCUUUUUGCCUCUCUUCCACCCUGUCAUCUCUCUCUCUCUCUCUCUCUCUCUCUCUCUGUGUGUGUGUGUGUGGUUAGUUAAUUUUAUUUAAAUACAGCAGGGUUUUAUGAGGAAGCAUAACUAUUUUCAUAACAUUGCCUUUAAUUCAUCCUUUAUAUGUCUUCCUCUAAAGUUGUUACUGUUUUGGCUUAUAUAGUCCAACUAUUUCCACUCAUUUUCCUGUACUAAGUAAGAAAAAAAAGGAAAACUUUUAACUCGGCAUUCACUUCUAAUGGAAUUCUAAGGGCAAUUAUUUUGGGGAAUAAUGAAUGAAAAGAUCAUUAUAACUAUAAAUCUUAUUAUUCCUAUUAUUUCUCAGUUUAGAGAUGGACCUACAUUUUUACAGGAAGAAUCUGGCAUCAUGCCAAUGUUACCGGUGUAGCCAGGACAGUGUUGGGACACGGACACCAAAAACUCACAUGGUCUGUGUGGGAUUCAUCUGGGUUCUCCAGUUUCCUUCAACCCUCAGAAACAUGCAUUGUUCCCAGUAUAGGCUCUGAAUCCACUGCAGCCCGGACCACAAUAAAAGUCGUUACUGAAGAUGAAUAAAUGACUCACAAAUCUCUUCAACAAGAAGUUUGGUAAGAUUUUC